RNAcentral lists this long non-coding RNA (2013 nucleotides) under Sus scrofa (pig). RNAcentral's name for it is "lncRNA (ENSSSCG00035007016.1)". The record is from RNAcentral. Lineage: Eukaryota; Metazoa; Chordata; Mammalia; Artiodactyla; Suidae.
GUGUGUCCAGAAAGCAGUAGAAGUAUCUGGGAGGUACAGUGUGCGUCCUACAACAACAAGCCGUUCAUGGGCCGGUUUUAUGAAUGGGAACCAUUUGCAGAAGUCAAGGGCAAUCGGAAAUGUGAGCUGAAUUGCCAGGCCAUGGGCUACCGCUUCUACGUCCGGCAAGCUGAGAAGGUCAUUGAUGGUACCCCCUGUGACCAGAAUGGCACCGCCAUCUGCGUGUCUGGGCAGUGCAAGGUGAGUGCCCCAGAACUGGGGUAUCUGGAGUGGGUCUCGGAGGUGUCUGAUCUGUGACUUCCGACUGCACUGGUUGCCAGGCUGUGGCAUGCUUUCUCCCCACAAGCCUUGGUCCCCCCUACUCUGAAUUGUGAGCUCCGGGAAAAGGGGGUAGGAUGGGUCGGCUUGUUCUGCUCUGUGGUUUUGAUCUCUGGGAAUUGCCAAGUCUCACAAUGGCAUUUUGCUUAUUAAGUGAUUUACAUUUACAUCAUGUGCAUCCUAACAAACUCCGAUCUUUCCUCGUUGGCUGGAGCUCCUACCUCUGGAGUUGAGGUUAUGAAGAGGUCACUGCUGGAUCAGUCAAGAAACAGUUGGCAUCGUCAGGGUGGCAUUUUAAGGGCACAGCAUAUUUUAUCUCGCCUCCCACCAGCUAGGGCAGGCUUCCAAAUCAAAGUUGUCUAGCGCCUUUAUGACAGAAGUUGUACUUUCAACAGGAAGUUCUCAGCCUCCUUGGAUUUCUGAAGUCUGUUCCAGGAACUCCCCACCCUGCAUUCUACAAACACUCUGGGCUGGGGAGAAUCCUUGCAGGAUGCUGCCCUUUGAUAGAAAGCACCAUUUGGGGGAGUUCCCUUCAUAUCUCAGUGGUUAAUGAACCCAAUUAGUAUCCAUGAGGACAUGGGUUCAAUCCAUGAUUAACAGUGUGACCUCGUAUGAGUUCUGUAAGCUCUCUGUACCUCUGCAUCAUCUACAACCUGUGGACUUACAAAAUAUGCACAACUUGGGAGUUCCCUGGUGGUCUAGUGGUUAGGAUUCAGAGCUUUCACUACUGUGGGCAACAGCCUCUGAAGGCAGAAUUUCAGAUGGCUCUGAAAGGCUGCUCCAAAGAGGUAGGGGGGAAAUGUCAGAAUAUAUGUGAUUUUGGUGAAGAGGGAGGUGCAUGCAACCAAGCACACAUUUUUACAGGAAGUUUGCUGCUAGUCUCGUGAGAUUACUGCUAGUCAAGAGAAGCAGACAUCACCAUGAAGGAUUUUAGUGCUUUUCUGGGUAUGAGGAGAUGUAAGAAUUGGGCUCAUAAAAUCUUCUCCUGAAACUAUCUAACUAUCUACUAGUCUUCCCAAAGCACAGAGUGCCUCACUCCUGAUUCCCGCCCUGAGCUCUUUCAGGGGGUGUUGAGAGUCGGCAGCUGCAGUGGCUUAUGAUUCAGUCUGUGUAGAGGCAGAUGGCAAGGGCCAGUCUCCAGGUCAGGAACACAGGGUGGAUGAUACCUCCCUCCUGCAUUGUAGUGAAGAGUCAUGAGCUAAUUAAUACAUGGAAGGUCCUCCUCCCAGGUCUGGCACUAGUAAAGGACACUGGCUUUUCUUAUAUGAUGUUUCUUUAUGUCUACAUACACCUGUUGUAUUUGAAUUUUCUAUGCAAGAGUAUUUGAGAGGUUUUUUGGCAGGUUACAAAUUCGUGAGAGUCACAUUAUCUUUUGAGGCUGUGUUCUCACACUGCAGUGUGAAUCAUGGCAGACUCUGCAUUGGUAGGUCUGGGAAAGUGUCUGAGUCAUCUACGUCUCUAACAAGCUCCCCUGUGAUGCUGAUGCUGCUGGUCCACGGAUCACACUUUGUGCCACAAAGUUUUAAAAGAUGCUUUGAUUAAAAUACAGUCCACAAAGAACUAGAAAUGUAAAUAUAGAGAGGUGAGAUGGGUUGGAAGGAAGACGCAAUAUCAUCUCUUUCCAUUGGGGGAGCUUCUUUUCUUAGUGUUGCAUUGUCUUUGAGGUGAGGAGAUGAAAAAAAAAAAAAAAAAAAA